Molecule: long non-coding RNA, 3562 nt
Organism: Cyprinus carpio carpio
Lineage: Eukaryota; Metazoa; Chordata; Actinopteri; Cypriniformes; Cyprinidae
Source: Ensembl
GUUUUGUUCUCUCUCCGCAUUCGUCACUAAUCACGUAACGCCAACGUAAUGACCCUGUCAGCCAGAACUGCUUUUGCGUAUGACAGACACCGGAAGUGAGAGAAAAGUGUUUAUUACCUUUGAAAUAUCCAUAAAAUAUGGAUAUUUUUCUUACAAAAAUGCAUGUAUUCACCCCCUGGAGCGGUGUGAGGCACGUUUUAUUAUAAAUGCGCUCGCUUUAUUUGAUGACUUGUGGAAUGUUCAACUGCAACACCUGCUGACUGUAAUGAUAGAGCUUGGAAUAGCCAGGACAAUUUUUUAUAUAACUCCGACUGGAUUCAUCUGAAAGAAGAAAGUCAUAUACACCUAGGAUGCUUCGAUGGUAUAAAGACCCCAGUUAUGCGCUUCUGCUUCACCCAAAGCUCAGAGGAACUACAGAAGAAGAGCUAUAACCACCCGCUGUGGCCAGAUAGCCUAGCCUUUCUUCCAUUCCAGCAAACCAAGUGGGAGAAACGUGAGGGAGGAUAAAGAGGCAAAGGGUCACGUCCCCCGAUUGGACCCUCCAUUCAUCACAAGUGUCAGGAUUGGACGGCGUGGACGUGGAGAGCUGCCCAUCAAUCUGGAGAGAAAGCAUCUGAAAGGACAGAUUUCUAUCUCCUUUCAUGGGUUACUAUGAGGGACCAAGCCAGAGAGAGCGAAAGAGCGAGAGACUAGUCCUAAAAAUUUACUGAGGUUAUCCUCGGGAGAUGCAGCCACAGACACAGACGAGAUGCGAUCAAUACGGCCAUUUAAAGAGAGAGUGUCAGUAUCCCUGAAGGAGGAGGACGACACAUACAAACACUGACGAAUGAUGCCAGCCACUCCAUUUACACGCAACACAGUCAGGAAACGCUCUCUCUAAUUACACCUAAUUGGGUUUUAACUGGGAAGUGCGGAAUUGCUUACUUCACGUUUUAAAUCCUCUCUUGGAAGUAAAAGCCCAUAAGGCCUUCAUAGCAACAAUACGUUUUACUGAAUCACACAGAAUCACAUACUGUACCUUCAUUUUCAAGUGCACCACCAAAAUAUAAGCCAGUGGCCAUUUUAACCUUCAUUCAGUGGAUUUCCUGAAGUCUCCUAUAUUUUUGGGAUGUUGUGUCAUGUUCAGAUAUAGUUAUAAAUAAAUGUUCUUGAUUUUUUUGUUAAAAGUGUAAAUUUAAAAAUAUAACCAAAAAAAAAAAAGUUUUGCUUAUAUAGCAAACAAGUAUUUAUCUAGUAUUAUAUAUAAAGAAUCUAUAAUUUUUUGCUUCUUGUACACUAUAAAUAAUAUAUAUAUAUAUAUAUAUAAUAAAAAAAACUACAGUUAACCAGAAAUAAUAAAAAUGCACAAGUGCAUCACAAAACUAUUAAAACUUCCUUAAAUUAAAAUCAAAACUGAAAAUUAAAGAUAAAAGCUAAUUUAAAAUAUGAAAAAAAUUAAAGCUUAAAGGGAUAGUUCAUCCAAAAGUGAAAAUUGUUAUAAUUUCUUGUGUUUUUUUUUUUUUCAAAACUGGAUGAGUUUCUUUGUUCUGUUAAACAUAAAAGAAGAAAUUUUGAGGUAUGUUGGCAUCCAAAUAGUUGCUGCUAACCAUUGACAGAUUCUACAGGGGGAAAGAAAAUAUUAUGGAAGUCAAUGGGGACCAGCAACUCUGGUAACCAACAUUCUUAGUUCCUAAAUCCUAACUGACACAGAAAGUCUGGGCUCAAAGAAAAUCUGAGAAAGACAUGGAAAAUUUUAGAAAAAUGAAAGCUUUCUUGGUAUUUUGGGAAAUAAAUAGAUUUACUGAUGCCAAGGCCAGCAAAGUAUUAAAGACCCGUGACGUCCUUUUGCUACACUCCCACCAGCGCAGUGAAAAAACAAGCUGUUAUUCAAAUAAAAAGAGAAGUUCCACCAGCAGAAAAAGAGACAGUAGCCCAGAAGAUUAAGAAAUAUCACACGCAUGUGUGGAAAAGAACUGCGGUGAGAUCAGGACUUUCAUCUGUUUGCUUGUGCAAAAGCUUAGGCAGCUUGCAUCAGACAUCCUGACACAGCGGCUCUGGAUCAUGACAGUCCAAUCACAUCCCUGACCUGGGUUCACUUCAUCUCUUCUGUCUCACUCUCGAUCUGCACUCUCACCUCUUCGGAAUCACUUUCAUUUCAGAAAACCCAAGGAGACGCUCAGCGUGAAUGAGGUGCGUAAUAUGAGGUUAAGUCAGUAAUGAUGGAACGGCAUUCAUCUCAACAGUCCUUGAGCAUUUGUUAUGUUUUCCCUCGCAUUCGGGUUCAGGACCCGGAAGGGUUUUGUCCAAAACAAGGGAGGAAUAUUCAAUGGAAAUAAAGUGAAAUGUGUUUGUAAAUGAACACCGCUUGAGGUCAAACAUUUGAUUUCUUUCUUCUCACGUAAGCACACCAGCCAAAUGUGUGUGUGGGAAAGAAAGAAAGAGAUAUUCUGUCAGAUCUCAGACCACUUACAGGUAAACUAGACAGUUGAAGUAGCAGUUUUAACCAAGAUAAACAGCUUUAAGAGGCUUUCUCAGUGUCGACAGAUCAGUAUCUGAUGUGGAAGUUCAGUCUCAGGUAAGCUGUCUUGGGUCGUCUGAUGAAUACUGCACACAGAAACGGCAAGAGGCUCCUCAAAGCGCCACGCUGAAACCUGAUUUACCGGCUUUACGCAAUGUUAGGUACGUUUACACAUUCUGAGCAUUUCUGAGAAGAACCAGUUACUGCAUUUGACAAAGUUUGCAAGGCUGGGUCUUCGAAAAACAUGUAAGUUCUGUUCGAGACAUGCUGAGACUUUGUAGCAUCUAAAUGAGAUAUUCAUGAGGCAAGGUUGGGCACAAUUUAAUUUAAUAACUGGUUCCCUUUUCAUUUCACAAGUGUAAAUUUGAAUUAAAAUGGCCACAGCACACAGGAAAUUCAAUUGGAAUAACAGGAACUUACUGCUGAUUCAACAUUCUUCUACAGUAGUGUCCUUCUGGUCCACAAAACUUAUAUAUAUAUAUAUUUUAUUUUAUUUUAAAGUAUGUUUUGUGGAUGCUAAUGCAAAUUAAUUAGCUAAUCUAAUUUUUAGUACUUUUGAUAUGUGCUUCUCUUUUUUAAAUAUUUCAGCAUUUUGGAAUGAACCUCUUAUCACCAAGAGGCUCAGGCAAACUGCCAUGUGCUGUGGUUCACUUCUUAUGUCUUGGUCUGGAUGAUUCUGCAUCAAGCGGUUGGUAAACGGCUGGUUGUAUCGUGAUAGCUGGACCUCAUGGUGUUGAUGAGGAUCUGGCCCUCUGAGGCAUGAUCGCCAGAGCAAAGGAAGCUGGAAAAAGAAGAUCUGUUAGCAAUUAAUCAGCAAAGCCUGAGGGCUCCUAAAGACAUUAAAAACCUGCUUUGAAAUUAUGAAACAAGUUGAACGUGUAGAGACUUGACUGAAGUUGCUAUAGUACUGAUUCUAAACAGCUGAAAUAACAGACAAACAACUUGACUGAUAAGAUAAUGGCAGGCAAAAACCUGUUAAUUGGUAAGUUCCUUUAUACUAUAUAUGUACUAAAACUAUUUAUGUACUAUAUAUGUACUUUUACUAAAAACUGUAAUAGAUCUAUC